Long non-coding RNA from Carassius gibelio (silver crucian carp), 666 nucleotides. RefSeq lists it as uncharacterized. The transcript is spliced from 3 exons. The record is from RefSeq and is a predicted model, not a curated record. Lineage: Eukaryota; Metazoa; Chordata; Actinopteri; Cypriniformes; Cyprinidae.
GUAUCCACAAUCCUAAAUAAAACAACAACUACUGACUUUAAUUUCAAUCAAAUAGUUUUCAAGGGUAAUUCCACCGUGAUUGAGGCCAAUGUAGAGUAUGUUUUCACAGACAGUGACAUCGGUAGUUUCAGCUUGGUCACAACUUUGCUCGGACUUACUACAACAGCCGCUCCAACCACCUUUUACCCCACAAUUCUGCACACUACCAUCUCAAACAACAGUACUAAUGCAGCUUGGGUUGUGGCUAUCAUUGUCCCCUGUGCUAUUAUCAUCGGGCUUAUACCUUGCUGGAUUCUUCUUUGCUGUUUGCUGUGUGGUUGCUGUGCAGCAAUCAGAAGACGUUGGCACAGAAGACGGUCAUACAAUGUGCAGUACACCACUCGAAACAGUCUCUUCUAGAGAUAUUCAAGAACAAACUUUAAAUGCUUAAAAGUGUAUUAAUUUUCCUGUAUUGCUGGGCAUACAGGACAUCUCCAAAUGUGAUACAACUGUGAUUUAGAAAAAAAAAAAACUAUUUAAGGAAUUAUUUUAUUUAUUUGAAAAUGAUGUUAUGUAAAGUAAUGAUAAUCUUGUUUACUGAAUGAAAGAUUUAUUUGGUAGCAUGUAUCUAAUGUUAUGGGACAAAUGUAGAAUUGGUUUAUUUACACUUCAUGUACUUUAUCUUUA